CAGGACGAACGCUGGCGGCGUGCUUAACACAUGCAAGUCGAACGAGGAUAUGCCAGAGGAGAGCUCGGCAGGAAUCAGGCAUAUCGAGUGGCGGACGGUGAGUAACGCGUGAGCAACCUGUCCCAGACAGGGGGAUAACACUUGGAAACAGGUGCUAAUACCGCAUAAGACCACGGUAUCACAUGGUAUUGGGGUAAAAGGAGCAAUCCGGUUUGGGGUGGGCUCGCGUCCGAUUAGAUAGUUGGUGAGGUAACGGCCCACCAAGUCGACGAUCGGUAGCCGACCUGAGAGGGUGAUCGGCCACAUUGGAACUGAGAGACGGUCCAAACUCCUACGGGAGGCAGCAGUGGGGAAUAUUGGGCAAUGGGCGAAAGCCUGACCCAGCAACGCCGCGUGAAGUGAAGAAGGCCUUCGGAUUGUAAAGUUCUGUUGUAGGGGAAGAAUGAUACCUUGAGGAAAUGCUUGGUAUUUGACGGUACCUUAUUAGAAAGCCACGGCUAACUACGUGCCAGCCGCGGC
This 519-nucleotide ribosomal RNA is filed under the name uncultured bacterium. RNAcentral's name for it is "bacterial SSU rRNA". It matches the Rfam family "Bacterial small subunit ribosomal RNA", at positions 25 to 518 of the family's 1533-position model. The record is from RNAcentral.